This 253-nucleotide ribosomal RNA is filed under the name uncultured bacterium. Its description in RNAcentral is "partial 16S ribosomal RNA". It matches the Rfam family "Bacterial small subunit ribosomal RNA", at positions 524 to 776 of the family's 1533-position model. The record is from RNAcentral.
UACGGAGGGGGCUAGCGUUGUUCGGAAUGACUGGGCGUAAAGGGCGCGUAGGCGGAUGGCACAGUCAGAUGUGAAAUUCCCGGGCUUAACCUGGGGGCUGCAUUUGAUACGUGUGAUCUAGAGUGAGGAAGAGGGUCGUGGAAUUCCCAGUGUAGAGGUGAAAUUCGUAGAUAUUGGGAAGAACACCGGUGGCGAAGGCGGCGACCUGGUCCUUGACUGACGCUGAGGCGCGAAAGCGUGGGGAGCAAACAGG